Molecule: ribosomal RNA, 253 nt
Filed under: uncultured bacterium
Lineage: Bacteria
Description: partial 16S ribosomal RNA
Rfam family: Bacterial small subunit ribosomal RNA
Source: RNAcentral
AACGUAGGAGGCAAACGUUAUCCGGAGUUACUGGGCGUAAAGGGCGUGUAGGUGGUUUCGUAAGUCUGGCGUGAAAUAUCUCGGCUUAACCGAGGCAGGUCGUCGGAUACUGCGGAACUAGAGGACGGUAGAGGCGUGUGGAAUUCCGGGUGUAGUGGUGAAAUGCGUAGAUAUCCGGAGGAACACCGGUGGCGAAGGCGGCUUUCUGGACCGACACUGACGCUGAGGCGCGAAAGCUAGGGGAGCAAACGGG